RNAcentral lists this ribosomal RNA (330 nucleotides) under Paracercomonas sp. RNAcentral describes it as "SSU rRNA". The stretch from base 111 to 330 matches the Rfam family "Eukaryotic small subunit ribosomal RNA", at positions 734 to 955 of the family's 1831-position model. Lineage: Eukaryota; Cercozoa; Cercomonadida; Cercomonadidae. The record is from RNAcentral.
AAUUUCUGGUACGACGCAUUCGGCCCGGCGGCUUCGCGUCGCUUUGUGUGCUGGACUGCGUCUGCCAUCCUUCUCGACCGCGACUGCGGCUGCCCUUCGCUGGGUGGUCGCUCCGGUUGUUAGAUCUUUUACUUUGAAAAAAUUAGAGUGUUUAAAGCAGGCUUGCGCUAUGAAUACAUUAGCAUGGAAUAAUAAUUUAGGACUUUGUUUCUAUUUUGUUGGCUUCUAGGGACGAAGUAAUGAUGGAUAGGGAUAGUUGGGGGUGCUAGUACUCAGUGGCCAGAGGUGAAAUUCUUGGAUUCACUGAAGACUAACUUAUGCGAAAGCAUU